AAAAAAAAUGACCAGAAAAACCUUAAAUGAUCGUCGAUUUAUCCAAAAGUUUUAAAGUUACACAAAGGAAGUAGUGCUUAUUAAAAAUCCUUGUGUAGUUCAUUAUGACUUGUGCUUUUAGCUAAGAUGUCAAAGAACAAUUGUAUGAAAUAUUUAAUCGCCGAAAAUUUCUUUAGACAAGCAGUUUAGAUUUCCUAAAUGACAAAAGUCGUAGGAAUAUUGUUUGUCAUCAAUACGUAGUACAACUACGUCAGUAGUCUAUUAUAUAAUUCAACUGUUCAUGCUGUUGGCGGCAAUUUCAAAUUAGAAAAGAAAUUUUCGUAGCUUUUCAAUUUGGAGGCAGGUGUGCAAAUUAGCGGUGGUCCGAGACCUUCCACUUUUCAAGCGGAAUUUCGACUAGGAUAGUUGGUUUCUAGCUACGCCCGAUGUAGUCGCCUUACAUUUGAAAGAAAAUAAGAAAUUACUUUGCAAACCUUUUCACCAUGUUCACCAAAGUCUCCAAUUAAACGAGCUUAAAACUUAUUUUUAUCAUUAUUAUUCAUGACGGCGAUGUUUAUUUUGUUCAACCGCUAGCUUUAUACAGAAAAUUGCCGACAAAUAUUGUAUAAAUUCGAGUAAAAUCGUAUCUGAUUGACAAAAAUAACAUUGUAAACACAUAACAAUGGCGGCCGUGAAGAAAUUUUUUUACAAAAUCGGAUCCGAUUCCGGAAGCGGAUAAGGGUAAUUCCGGGUUUGACGAUCAUUUACAAAAUAAAUCCAAGCAGGUGAAAAAAUACAUCUAUGCAUGGUAAAAUGAAUAUAAACACUAGUAUUGUAAACCAAAAGAUAUAUGUAAAAGAAAGAAAAAGCAGAAAAAUAGUUUAUUCAAAAACUAAAAAUUACUUUUUGAUAAAUUUUAAUUUAAAAAUCCAAUACAACGUGACAGCUGGGAACAGUAUAUCUAACAAUAUACAUGUUCAUGGUCUCAGUCUAAAUUUUCUUUAUAAAUGAUAAAUGAUGAUAAUGCGUGUGAGAUGCUUUUAAAGUGUAAACAUAUUACUGCAAUUUCGAGGGGCUAUUUGUUUUUUCUCAAUUUUGAAGGGUCAAUUAAGGUAGCUGAAAGUUUCAUUCUUUAUUUUCACAAAUAUUGCAACUAUAUUAUAUAUACCUUAAUGUAAGUAAAUCAUAUGAUAUAUAGGUGGCAUUCUUUAGGCCACUCUACCCCCUCCUGUUUGAUAAUUUGGAACAAUGGCGGAUCCAGCCAUUUUAAAAAAGGGGGGUUCCCAAACCAGAGUAAAGGGGGG
Molecule: long non-coding RNA, 1283 nt
Filed under: Mytilus galloprovincialis (Mediterranean mussel)
Lineage: Eukaryota; Metazoa; Mollusca; Bivalvia; Mytilida; Mytilidae
Source: RNAcentral